Long non-coding RNA from Andrographis paniculata, 681 nucleotides. RefSeq lists it as uncharacterized. The transcript has 3 exons. The record is from RefSeq and is a predicted model, not a curated record. Lineage: Eukaryota; Viridiplantae; Streptophyta; Magnoliopsida; Lamiales; Acanthaceae.
AGGGGAAGGAGCUGAAAUUUCUAGGGCUUUGAUUCAAGAGUUCAUCAAGUUGCAAUUGUUUUGGGCCUCAAUUUCCGUGGAAACAAUCACUGCCGAGCGCGGUGAAAGUCUCAGGCUGCAACAAAUACAAAUGGAUUUACCGCGCGCUGUUUCGAUUGAUUUGAUGUCGCGAUUAGUGCUGGCCCUGGUGGGAUCUGGACACUUUGUCUCGUCUGCCGUAUGAUGAUGGCUGAAGAUGGUGAAAAGCGCGGUUGGGUGUUGAUUUUCGCUACUUUUAGCUGCUGGUAGUUCAGUCGAAACAGCAACUUGUUCAUUCAAACAUCUAAUCAGUAGAGUGUGGGGGUGAUCUGCAUCAGAUACAGCUCAGAUUGCACUACAAACACGGCGGUGUGCGAUAUUGUGCGCCUCAGAUGCAUAAAGGGACAACACAAGAUCAUGGGGUUGUAAAGAAAUCCAUCCCCUGUUUGUAUGUGGAGAUAUCGAUCAAUUUUCCAUGUUCUUCUUGGCCCUUUUUCGACAUGAGAAAGUGGUUAAGGAAAGGCAAGCAUAUGCCUUUCUUACAUGACAACUACAUCUAGUCGAAAAUGGUUGGUUGGUGAUUGUCAACUUCCACAUCAUAUAUUAAUAUCCACAUGUUUGUUUACUUAGAAAUUUUGUUUUGUAUUUUGGUUAGAAUUGUGG